RNAcentral lists this ribosomal RNA (351 nucleotides) under uncultured bacterium. Its description in RNAcentral is "bacterial SSU rRNA". It matches the Rfam family "Bacterial small subunit ribosomal RNA", at positions 917 to 1271 of the family's 1533-position model. The record is from RNAcentral.
GGGCCCGCACAAGCGGUGGAGCAUGUGGUUUAAUUCGAUGAUACGCGAGGAACCUUACCAGGGCUUAAAUGCAGAACGACCGGGGUGGAAACACCCCUUUCUUCGGACGGUCUGCAAGGUGCUGCAUGGUUGUCGUCAGCUCGUGCUGUGAAGUGUCGGGUUAAGUCCCAUAACGAGCGCAACCCCUAUUUCUAGUUGCCAGCGGUUCGGCCGGGGACUCUAGAGAAACUGCCAGCGUAAGCUGUGAGGAAGGUGGGGAUGACGUCAAAUCAUCACGGCCCUUACGUCCUGGGCCACACACGUGCUACAAUGGUGGGGACAACGAGUCGCUAACCCGCGAGGGUAAGCUAA